GACGAACGCUGGCGGCGUGCUUAACACAUGCAAGUCGAACGGAAAGGCCCUGCUUUUGUGGGGUGCUCGAGUGGCGAACGGGUGAGUAACACGUGAGUAACCUUCCCUUGACUUUGGGAUAACUUCAGGAAACUGGGGCUAAUACCGGAUAGGAGCUCCUGCUGCAUGGUGGGGGUUGUACAGUUUCGGCGGUUGGGGAUGGACUCGCGGCUUAUCAGCUUGUUGGUGGGGUAGUGGCUUACCAAGGCUUUGACGGGUAGCCGGCCUGAGAGGGUGACCGGCCACAUUGGGACUGAGAUACGGCCCAGACUCCUACGGGAGGCAGCAGUGGGGAAUAUUGCACAAUGGGCGGAAGCCUGAUGCAGCAACGCCGCGUGCGGGAUGACGGCCUUCGGGUUGUAAACCGCUUUCGCCUGUGACGAAGCGUGAGUGACGGUAAUGGGUAAAGAAGCACCGGCUAACUACGUG
Molecule: ribosomal RNA, 468 nt
Filed under: uncultured bacterium
Lineage: Bacteria
Description: partial 16S ribosomal RNA
Rfam family: Bacterial small subunit ribosomal RNA
Source: RNAcentral